GCGCUGUGGAACCGCCUCCUGCUAGAGCAGCGGGCUGGCGACGGUCCUCGCCGGGGCGGGAAGCGGCUCAGGCUGCCCUCGCUGGCCUGCGGCGGCGCGGCUGGAAGCGCGGGCCACUCGUGCGUGGGUCACUCAGGACUGCGCCUCGCGCGACUGUGUGUGCAGGAAACAAGCAGGAAAUACCCUAAAAGAGAAUGAAGCGCCAUGUUGAGGGUCGCGGACGUCGCGAGUGCUGUGGGAAUGUGGGCUGAGGUGGAGAGUUAUGGUAGCCCGUGUUACAGGCUCAGGGGUCUGAAAGAAGCCUAAUCGUGGAGGCGGCAUCUGAGGAGGGUCUUGAAGGCUGGGCAGGCAUUUGCCCGACAGAGAUGGAGGAAGCUAGUCCUGUCUGAUGGAGGAAACAGGGCGGAGGCGUGGAGGGAGCCGUGCAGCGCUGGUGUGAGGAGCAGCGAGCAGGCCAGGCCUGUAAAGCAGAGUGAGGGAACCAGGAUAGAGAAGGCAAGUCGGGGUCCUGUGGUCGCUGAAGAAUUUGAAUGAAAUCAGUAAACAGGUGAGAGGGAUCCAUCGCAAGAGCAUGGGAUGAAAGGAGGAGUAGUCCACGGUGAUUCCUCUGCAGCGGUGGGUGUUAUUAAUCGCGUAUGUGACACCAAAACCACCCCACUCAAGCUGUGGCUCUUUCCCUAAAGUAGAAAACCGAGACCAGUUGGGUUCCAAGCAUCCACGAAGAUCUUAUUAAAUUCGUGAUCCCUGGUGGCACCAUGGAGUCAGGAUUGGCUCAUCUCAAACCUGACUCAGAAACAAAACCGUCACAAUGUGCAGAGAUGAGCGUCCUUACCGCUAUCAACGUAUUUUCUGGUGUUUUCACAGUGCUGCGCUUCCUAAUCCCCAUUCCAUGGCAAUCCACAUGCCAUGAUGCCCGGAGUCAUUAACAAAGGAGACACACAGGGGCUCCUCACGUUGGCUUUCCAGGGUUUUGAUGAAAAUCUGUUUCCUCGUCUCAUACAAUGUGGCUGUACAGGAAGCAUGGUGAUGGCAUCUGCAUGGCGCCUGUGGAGGCCCCAGGGAGCUUUUACUCAUGAUGGAAGGCACAGAGGGAGUAGGCACAUCACAUGGUCCGAGGAGGAGCAAGAGAAAAUGGGAGUGGGGCUCUUUGUCCUGGGAAGAGUUUGCUGCAUCUUCCAGUUUCAGUAAUCAAAGAAGCAAAGUUCCCUGCAGUUCUUCAAGGAACCUUGAGAAUUCAGAAGGUCUUGGGGUGGCUGCAUCCAUCCUGCAGACAAAUGCCAAUCAGCAGAGGGGCCAUUCCCAGGGACACAUGUCUGGCUGACUUGGGCCUUGGCCAGGUAAGACACACAGCAUGCAUGCCUGCAUUUCUGAAUGCCAUAGACCUGACAAGUCAUAAAAUAGCAACCAAUAAUUUUAUGUUAGAGUGCUCCCUUCCUCACAGAAAUCUCAGCAUAUGUGAAGAUAGGUUGGAAUGUGUAAAGAAAAGCUAAGAAAGCAGAUUUCUGAUAAGAACAGCGUGUGACUUGUACAGCAGCUCUGAAUUACAGCCCGUAGGAUGGAAUGCUGACAGUUCCUUCUUCCUUACCUGUGAUGGCUAGAAUUUUAUUUAGCACAUCGUUUUUGAGCCAAUCUCAAAAUGAGAAAACUUUUGAGGAAUUAUGCAUAGUG
RNAcentral lists this long non-coding RNA (1668 nucleotides) under Homo sapiens (human). RNAcentral's name for it is "non-protein coding FRG1-DT:18". The record is from RNAcentral. Lineage: Eukaryota; Metazoa; Chordata; Mammalia; Primates; Hominidae.